CAGUAGCCGCGGUAAUACAGAGGCCUCAAGCGUUGUUCGGAUUCAUUGGGCGUAAAGGGUGCGUAGGUGGCUUGGUAAGUUGAAGGUGAAAUCUCGGGGCUUAACCCCGAAACUGCCUUCAAUACUGCUAGGCUCGAGGACCGUAGAGGAGAAUGGAAUUCACGGUGUAGCAGUGAAAUGCGUAGAUAUCGUGAGGAAGACCAGUGGCGAAGGCGAUUCUCUGGGCAGUUCCUGACACUGAGGCACGAAGGCCAGGGGAGCAAACGGGAUUAGAGACCCCUGUAGUCCCUGUCUCUUAUAC
This 301-nucleotide ribosomal RNA is filed under the name uncultured bacterium. RNAcentral describes it as "partial 16S ribosomal RNA". It matches the Rfam family "Bacterial small subunit ribosomal RNA", at positions 509 to 807 of the family's 1533-position model. The record is from RNAcentral.